CGGCGUGCCUAAUACAUGCAAGUCGAACGCAUUGUGGUUGAAAUGAUAUGAAGAACUUGUUCAGAUUUGAUUUUCAACAUUGCAAUGAGUGGCGAACGGGUGAGUAACACGUGGGAAACCUACCUCUUAGCAGGGGAUAACAUUUGGAAACAAAUGCUAAUACCGUAUAAUAAUUAAAACCGCAUGGUUUUAGUUUAAAAGAUGGUCUUGCUAUCACUAAGAGAUGGUCCCGCGGUGUAUUAGUUAGUUGGUGAGGUAAUGGCUCACCAAGACAAUGAUACAUAGCCGAGUUGAGAGACUGACCGGCCACAAUGGGACUGAGACACGGCCCAUACUCCUACGGGAGGCAGCAGUAGGGAAUCUUCCACAAUGGACGAAAGUCUGAUGGAGCAACGCCGCGUGUGUGAUGAAGGGUUUCGGCUCGUAAAACACUGUUGUAAGAGAAGAAUGACAUUGAGAGUAACUGUUCAAUGUGUGACGGUAUCUUACCAGAAAGGAACGGCUAAAUACGUGCCAGCAGCCGCGGUAAUACGUAUGUUCCAAGCGUUAUCCGGAUUUAUUGGGCGUAAAGCGAGCGCAGACGGUUAUUUAAGUCUGAAGUGAAAGCCCUCGGCUCAACCGAGGAAUUGCUUUGGAAACUGGAUAACUUGAGUGCAGUAGAGGAAAGUGGAACUCCAUGUGUAGCGGUGAAAUGCGUA
This 698-nucleotide ribosomal RNA is filed under the name uncultured Weissella sp. Its description in RNAcentral is "bacterial SSU rRNA". It matches the Rfam family "Bacterial small subunit ribosomal RNA", at positions 40 to 692 of the family's 1533-position model. The record is from RNAcentral. Lineage: Bacteria; Bacillati; Bacillota; Bacilli; Lactobacillales; Lactobacillaceae.